AUUGAACGCUGGCGGCAGGCCUAACACAUGCAAGUCGAACGAGUGGCGGACGGGUGAGUAAUGUCUGGGAAACGGCCUGCUGGAGGGGGAUAACUACUGGAAACGGUAGCUACUACCGCAUAACAUAGGAUGUGCCCAGAGGGGAUUAGCUAGUAGGUGGGGUAAAGGCUCACCUUGGCGACGAUCCCUAGCUGGUCGGAGAGGAUGACCAGCCACACUGGAACGAAGACACGGUCCAGACUCCGACGAGAGGCAGGCGUGGGGAAUAUUGCACAAUGGGCGCAAGCCUGAUGCAGCCAUGCCGCGUGUAUGAAGAAGGCCUUCGUGUUGUAAAGUACUUUCAGCGGUGAGGCGUUACCCGCAGAAGAAGCACCGGCUAACUCCGUGCCAGCAGCCGCGGUAAUUC
Molecule: ribosomal RNA, 406 nt
Filed under: uncultured bacterium
Lineage: Bacteria
Description: partial 16S ribosomal RNA
Rfam family: Bacterial small subunit ribosomal RNA
Source: RNAcentral